GAAGAGGUAGCUCAGUGGUGAAGAGCACUGUCUAUAAUUCAAGACAAGACAACCUGGGUUCAAUUCCCAGCAUCUACC
RNAcentral lists this transfer RNA (78 nucleotides) under Rattus norvegicus (Norway rat). It matches the Rfam family "tRNA". Rfam says of the family: Transfer RNA (tRNA) molecules are approximately 80 nucleotides in length. Their secondary structure includes four short double-helical elements and three loops (D, anti-codon, and T loops). Lineage: Eukaryota; Metazoa; Chordata; Mammalia; Rodentia; Muridae. The record is from Rfam by way of RNAcentral.